ACAAAAUGGAUCGAAGUAGGAGCAGGAGGACAGGGAGGAUUUUGGACACAGGAUCUGGUCGGUCGUUAGGCAUCGGGCUCAGUGUGCUGUGGUAUAAACUGAUUGUCCAGAACAGAAAAAAAGCAGCGACUUAGAAACUUCUCGAUCCUGAUGUGGUUGGACUGAAACUGUCCUGGGUCAAACUGUCACUUCCAGUGGUUCAAAUGUCAUACUGACACUCAGCAUUUUUUUGUCCCUUAAAGCUUCAA
Long non-coding RNA from Thalassophryne amazonica, 248 nucleotides. RefSeq lists it as uncharacterized. The record is from RefSeq and is a predicted model, not a curated record. The transcript is spliced from 3 exons. Lineage: Eukaryota; Metazoa; Chordata; Actinopteri; Batrachoidiformes; Batrachoididae.